GGUAGAAUCACAGGUUGAGCAAAGACGAGACGGUUGUAUUGAUCUACAGGUGGCCCUAUGGGAGGCCCCCUACUCAAUGAAUCAAAGGUGCGCCAGGAAUAACAGGCUGGCUCCCCCC
RNAcentral lists this ribosomal RNA (118 nucleotides) under uncultured Pyramimonadales. RNAcentral's name for it is "partial Bacterial large subunit ribosomal RNA". The record is from RNAcentral. Lineage: Eukaryota; Viridiplantae; Chlorophyta; Pyramimonadophyceae; Pyramimonadales.